UACGGAGGGUGCAAGCGUUAAUCGGAAUUACUGGGCGUAAAGCGUGCGCAGGCGGUUUGUUAAGUCCGUUGUGAAAGCCCCCGAGCUCAACUUGGGAAUUGCAGUGGAUACUGGCAGGCUGGAGUACGGUAGAGGAAGGUGGAAUUCCCGGUGUAGCAGUGAAAUGCGUAGAUAUCGGGAGGAACACCAGUGGCGAAGGCGGCCUUCUGGACCAGUACUGACGCUCAUACACGAAAGCGUGGGGAGCAAACAGG
Molecule: ribosomal RNA, 254 nt
Filed under: uncultured bacterium
Lineage: Bacteria
Description: partial 16S ribosomal RNA
Rfam family: Bacterial small subunit ribosomal RNA
Source: RNAcentral